Molecule: long non-coding RNA, 3553 nt
Organism: Acanthopagrus latus (yellowfin seabream)
Lineage: Eukaryota; Metazoa; Chordata; Actinopteri; Spariformes; Sparidae
Exons: 3
Source: RefSeq, a predicted model, not a curated record
CUUUGAUUACUGUUUGUUUUGUCUGUGUUAUGUCAAAUAGAUUAGAGUGCAUUAUGGUGAAGAGAGAACCAUAUAUGUAAAAAAAGACGACAAAAAGAACAUUUUAUGAACUGCUAAACAAAAGCAAGAGAACAUCUGGGCUGGAUUAUUCUCACAAUAUUUAUAUACACAACAUUUUUAUCGUCAAUAUCGAUAUAUUGCUAUUAUAAAUAAUGGAAUGUGCAAUUAAAUUCAUCAAAAAUAAUAUUCAAAAAUUUGUUUCAGUUUGCUUCGGUGUUUAUUUGCCUCUUAUUCCCCUGUGUAUUUCUUUUCCUAUUUAUCUUUCAAUUUUAGUGAUAUAGACAAUAUGUAAUUGCAUAAAUACAUUUCAAAAUGCAUAAAUGAAUUAAAUAAAAAAUAUAUAAUACAAAGGUAAACUGGAACGGUAUUCUAGAGCGUAGAGUGCAUACCUCCACCAAGGCCCAACAGUCCUAUUUUCAAUCAAACCUCAUCCAAUAUUAAAAUAAAACAUUUAACUCUGCUAAAUUGGAUUUAAAUUUCAAUCCACAUCCAAAUUGUACUCACCCAUAGCAGCCAGCUACCUAAAUAUAGCUUCUUUUGUUCAUCAGGAACAACAAUGCCCACAAUGUUGAAAAAGUGCAAGUAAAGUGGGGUAUUCUGGUUUAAAACCCAUCAUCCGUCCAAAUUUGAUGGAAAUCUACUCAGGAGGUAAUAAAUACAGAAGAGGAUUAAAACUAUUACUAAUCAAAAUAACAUUUUGUGAAUAUCAAUGCCUUCACUUAUUUCUAACACAAUUUUACUGCAUUCGUGGUAAAAUUAGCUAUUUAUUUAUCGCUGUAUUUAUUUUUGACUUGGGCAGUUUCAGUCCUCCAUAUCUACAGUCUCCUGAUGGAAUUUGGCAUUUGUGUCCACACCUGCAAAAACUUGUGAAAGAUGAUUUUUUUUAAACGCUGGAAAAUGUCACGGUAUUCUGAUCCAAAUCACACUUUUCUCCAACCGAACCGUCACAUGUUAAAUGUCAAGCUGCUGCUGCUGCUGCUGCUGAUCCCUCAAAAGAACAUGUUUGGGGGGGAAAAAAAAGAAAAAAAAAAUCUAACUGGGAAAAAAAAAAAAAAUCUGUUUGUUUGCAGAUUGUCAGGAAGAGAGGCAAACACUUCAAUGACAUAAUACUAACGAAUGGAAUCAUGCUCCACAUGUCCAGGACUGUAGCUACAACUGAGGAGCAAGGAAAUAAGGGGCUUUAACCACCUAGCGAGGAAUUUUAAUCACACACACAUAAAUGUGUUUUCAAGAGGUUAAUUCCGCAAUUUCUUCAAUUCAGAAUUUUAAAACAUUUGUUUUGCCUGGUAAAUUAUCAGCAUGUCAUCAAAAUGUAUAAUUUCAGAAAAAAAAAUCGCAUGGUGAAGUAGCAAAAGUAGAAGAAAAAGCUUGAAUCGCAGCUAGCUAGCUUUAGCCUAACCAAGUUAGACCAUUGCAGUUAGGACACUGCUACAGCUAGUCUUAGCCACAGCUAAAUUUUACCGUGUCUUUCCGACCUCUUUCCUGUAACUGCUAAGGCAAUUUUUAGGGUACGAGAUUUAUUCUGUUUUGUCAUCAUACAUAGCCUAAAUAAGUAGCUAAAACAUGACAAAACGGGGUAAUCUAGUUCUGCAAAAAUAACACUAUUAGCCUAGCAUAGCGUGAGCAGCUGUCAUCAACAUCUCAGCCUGACACCAUAAAUGUUAGAUGUUUGUUUCUUAAAUCCUUAAUCCUGUCCAUAGGUAUAUUGUAAAAGGUACAUAAAUUAAAUUCUCAUUUUACCAGUUAGCAUUUGGCUAACCUGCCUCCAGUCACUGCUCUCUGACUCUGUAAGGCAGUAUUGGUCCAGCUUGAAGUACAUUAUCUGCACUUCGGCCAUUGUUGAUAAUAGAGAAAUAAUGUUUUGGGGUGGGUAUUAGGGACAUCGCUCUCAGUACUUCUAAAGCCGUGGCUACAGCCCUGUUCAUGUCGUGCAGUGAAUUAAAAAAUCUCAGAAUAUGAUCUAAAAAAUGUGCCCUGUCCUGUUCAACUUAGGUAUGGAGUUGGGAAAUGGGCUUAUUUGUUUUCUUGCCAAAAGUUAGAUGAAACAAUUGGUGCCACUCUCUGCCAAUGAAUACUCGCACAGCGCUGUUGGACUCAUGAUGGACGACAGCAUCAAAAAAUAGGUGCAGCAGAUCGUGGGAUACUGACCUUUUUAUUCCAUACAUUCUUCUUUUUCUCCUUUAUACAACCUGGUGCCUGCGUUUCCCACAAUGCAACUCAUGUAAAAUUCAUGGAGUUAGCUAGAACCAGGGGUUAAAUAUCCUAGAUUAGCAUAAAGACUGGAAGCAAAGAGAAAAUCAGCUAGCAUGUCUCUUUUUAAAGUAAAUAAAACACACCCACCAACACCUCUCGAGCUCAGUGACGAACACACACAGCACAUUAGUGUUUUUACAUCUCCGUUUGUGUGCAAAUUAAACAAAUGUGGUGUGUUAGUUACUGAGCUUUGGAGGCGUCUUGAGGUCUAGUUAAACUUUGGACAGAGCCAUGCUAGCUGUUCUUUAUGCUAAGCAACCUAACUGCCAAAAUAAAUGUCAGUUAACACCCAACGUUUCUGCAAACAGCUGAUAUAUUUAUCAGUUGAGGCCCUCAUCUUUAUUCAACAUCUUUAUUACAAUGCUAACGUUUCUCUGCGUUCAAUUUUAUGUCACAUAUAGGCACAAAAAAACACACAGUCAGGGUUAGGAAGACAUCACGUUUUGGUUUGAAAUACCUGGUCCUGUCGCCACAAACACGGCAGGAAAAUGUCUUCGGGCCUCAUUGAAAACAUCCAGCGGUUCAAACGGACAAAUGUUAAAAAGUCGACUACGUAUACAAAUGUACAAAUUUAACGUUAUCCGUGGACUUGCAGAAACGUACAAUGCUGACAUUUUACACUUGCACAGCUACGAUAACCGCCUGGUCGCUCUCACUUCCUCUUUAACAUGCUACAGACAUGAGAGUGGUAUCAAUCUGUUCAUCAGGCUCUCAGCAGGAACACUAAAGAGUUUAUUCGCCAAAAAGUGUCACAGGAACAAGUCCUGAAACCCACAAUUUCAGUGACAAAUGGGAGUUAUUACAACUAAGGUUCAAGAACUGGACCACACCAAACCUGUCGCCGACCUGCCACCCAGGUCCAGCCAAUCAAACCACCUGCGUCUAAUCAACUCAACCACCUCCACCGCCCUGAUCCCAUCACCUGUGAAACCUACAUAGGAUCACCCGCAGCCCAGCCUUCGACAUCCCCAUCCAUGGCAAGAAGAUACCACAGAACAAGGACCAGAGCCAUCCAGCACAGGAACCACAGGGGGGAAGAUGAAGCCACGCCUAUUAGGACAUGCGCCCAUCGAGACAUACCCCCACUCUGAGGCCGACCACCCCCCUGGUUUCUAGACGGCCCGGCAAUCCCGCAGCACCUCUAAAAGACCCCUCCUUAUCCACCAACCUUGACCCCUUUUACUCAUCCAGCCACCCUGACCCCUCUUCACUAGCCUCUCCAAAUGUUCCCAUCAUUUAA